Eptesicus fuscus (big brown bat) is the source of this 669-nucleotide non-coding RNA. NCBI's taxonomy places the organism in Eukaryota, Metazoa, Chordata, Mammalia, Chiroptera, Vespertilionidae. The record is from the annotation of a RefSeq genome assembly.
AUGGCCUGGACCCUGCUGCUGCCCCUGCUCACACUCUGCACAGGUCCUGUGGCCUCUUCAGACCCGACUCAGCCCCCAGCAGUGUCUGUGGCCCUGGGACAGACGGCCAGGAUCACCUGCCAGGGAGAACUGGUAGAAAAAGCUUAUCCUGUGUGGCUCCAGCAGAAGCCCGGCCAGGCCCCCGUGCUGGUCAUCUAUGGUGACAAAAACAGGACCUCAACGAUCCCUGAGCGAUUCUCUAGCUCUCACUCAGGGGACACGGACACCCUGACCAUCAGCGGGGCCCAGGCCCAGGACGAGGCCGACUAUUACUGUUCGGUGUGGGACAAGAAUGCUAAAGUGCACAGUCUCUGUGCUCUGCCUGUGCUGACCCAGCCCCCAUCUGCCUCUGCCGCCCCGGGGGCCUCGGUCAAGCUCACCUGCACCCUGAGCCGGGAGCACAGCAGCUACAUUAUUUGGUGGUAUCAGCAGAGAGCAGGACAGGCCCCUCGGUAUUUGAUGAAGGUUAACAGUGACGGAAGCACCAACAAGGGGGACGGGAUCCCCGAUCGCUUCUCGGGUUCCAGCUCUGGGGCCGACCGGUACUUAACCAUCAACAACAUCCAGUCUGAGGACGAGGCGGACUAUUACUGUGGUGAGAGUCACACAAUUGAUGGCCAGGAUGGUUAA